This is a small nucleolar RNA of Suncus etruscus (white-toothed pygmy shrew), 120 nucleotides long. RefSeq annotates it as small nucleolar RNA SNORA26. The transcript has a single exon. Lineage: Eukaryota; Metazoa; Chordata; Mammalia; Eulipotyphla; Soricidae. The record is from RefSeq and is a predicted model, not a curated record.
GUGCUUUCUUAAGAUCAACUCAGUGCUUUCAGAGGCUAACAGAAGGCAGAGUGAGUCUCCGCAAAAGCCAGAGUGGAGAUUCGGAAAACUCCUCCCCUGAGCCUGCCAGGAGUGAUUUCU